Budorcas taxicolor (takin) is the source of this 72-nucleotide non-coding RNA. NCBI's taxonomy places the organism in Eukaryota, Metazoa, Chordata, Mammalia, Artiodactyla, Bovidae. The record is from the annotation of a RefSeq genome assembly.
UCCCUGGUAGCUCAGAUGGUAAAGCAUCUGACUGCCAUGCAGGAGACCCAGGUUCGAUCCCUGGGUUGGGAA